Non-coding RNA from Bos taurus (domestic cattle), 73 nucleotides. The record is from Rfam. Lineage: Eukaryota; Metazoa; Chordata; Mammalia; Artiodactyla; Bovidae.
UCCCUGAUGGUCCAGUGGUUAGGACACAGUGCUUUCAUUGCUAUGGGCCCAGAUUCAACCCCUGGUCAGGGAA